This 735-nucleotide ribosomal RNA is filed under the name uncultured archaeon. RNAcentral's name for it is "bacterial SSU rRNA". It matches the Rfam family "Archaeal small subunit ribosomal RNA", at positions 102 to 816 of the family's 1478-position model. The record is from RNAcentral.
GGACAACCUACCCUAGAGACAUGGACAACCCCGGGAAACUGGGAUUAAUCCGUGAUAGGUCAUCUCAUCUGGAAGGAGAGAUGGCUUAAAGGGGUGCGAGAGCUUCUUUCUUGUACUCGCUCUAGGAUGGGACUGCGGCCGAUCAGGCUGUUGGUGGGGUAAUGGCCCACCAAACCUGUAACCGGUACGGGCCUUGAGAGAGGGGGCCCGGAGAUGGACACUGAGAGAAGGGUCCAGGUCCUACGGGGCGCAGCAGGCGCGAAACCUUCACAAUGCGCGAAAGCGUGAUGAGGUUAAUCCGAGUUGGUUCCCGCUUAGGGAAUCUUUUGUCGACUCUAAAACGGUCGGUAAAUAAGGGGAGGGCAAGUCUGGUGUCAGCCGCCGCGGUAAUACCAGCUCCUCGAGUGGUCGGGGCGAUUAUUGGGCCUUAAAGCAUCCGUAGCCUUGUUCUGUAGGUCCCCUGUUAAAUCCAACGGCUUAACCGUUGGUCUGCAACGGAUACCGCAGGACUAGGAGGGGGGAGAGGUUGGACGGUACUCCACGUGUAGGGGUAAAAUCCUUUGAUCCGUGGAAGACCACCAGUGGCGAAGGCGGUCCACCAGAACGCGCUCGACGGUGAGGGAUGAAAGCUGGGGGAGCGAACCGGGUUAGAUACCCGGGUAGUCCCAGCCGUAAACGAUGCGAGCUAGAUGAUCCAGUCGCAAAUCGCGACUGGAGUGUCGCAGGGAAGCCGUU